AAGUCGAGCGACAGACGAGGAGCUUGCUCCUCUGACGUUAGCGGCGGACGGGUGAGUAACACGUGGGUAACCUACCUAUAAGACUGGGAUAACUCCGGGAAACCGGGGCUAAUACCGGAUAACACAUGAAACCGCAUGGUUUCAUGAUGAAAGACGGUUUUGCUGUCACUUAUAGAUGGACCCGCGGCGUAUUAGCUAGUUGGUAAGGUAACGGCUUACCAAGGCAACGAUACGUAGCCGACCUGAGAGGGUGAUCGGCCACACUGGAACUGAGACACGGUCCAGACUCCUACGGGAGGCAGCAGUAGGGAAUCUUCCGCAAUGGGCGAAAGCCUGACGGAGCAACGCCGCGUGAGUGAUGAAGGUCUUCGGAUCGUAAAACUCUGUUAUUAGGGAAGAACAAGGGUGUAAGUAACUAUGCACCCCUUGACGGUACCUAAUCAGAAAGCCACGGCUAACUACGUGCCAGCAGCCGCGGUAAUACGUAGGUGGCAAGCGUUAUCCGGAAUUAUUGGGCGUAAAGCGCGCGUAGGCGGUUUUUUAAGUCUGAUGUGAAAGCCCACGGCUCAACCGUGGAGGGUCAUUGGAAACUGGAAAACUUGAGUGCAGAAGAGGAAAGUGGAAUUCCAUGUGUAGCGGUGAAAUGCGCAGAGAUAUGGAGGAACAGCUAGUGACGAAUGCGACUUUCUGGUCUGCAACUGACGCUGAUGUGCGAAAGCGUGGGGAUCAAACAGGAUUAGAUACCCUGGUAGUCCACGCCGUAAACGAUGA
This 771-nucleotide ribosomal RNA is filed under the name Staphylococcus simulans. Its description in RNAcentral is "bacterial SSU rRNA". It matches the Rfam family "Bacterial small subunit ribosomal RNA", at positions 59 to 812 of the family's 1533-position model. The record is from RNAcentral. Lineage: Bacteria; Bacillati; Bacillota; Bacilli; Caryophanales; Staphylococcaceae.